This is a small nuclear RNA of Talpa occidentalis (Iberian mole), 161 nucleotides long. RefSeq annotates it as U1 spliceosomal RNA. The record is from RefSeq and is a predicted model, not a curated record. NCBI's taxonomy places the organism in Eukaryota, Metazoa, Chordata, Mammalia, Eulipotyphla, Talpidae. The transcript has a single exon.
AUACACCUGGCAGGAGAGAUACCUCAAUCGUGAGGGUGGUUUUUCCAGGACGAGGCGCACACAUUAUACUCCCAAUGUGCUAAACCCUGUGAUUUCCCCAAGUGUGGGAAUCUGGACUGCAUAAUUUGUAGUUAUGGGGGACUGUGUUCAUGCUGCCCCUG